GAUGAACGCUGGCGGUAUGCUUAACACAUGCAAGUCGAACGGUCACUUCGGUGAUAGUGGCGGACGGGUGAGUAACGCGUGAGAAUCUGUCUUCAGGUCGGGGACAACAGUUAGAAAUGACUGCUAAUACCGGAUGUGCCUUUGGGUGAAAGAUUUAUUGCCUGCAAAAGAGCUCGCGUCAGAUUAGCUAGUAGGUGGUGUAAGAGACUACCUAGGCUCCGAUCUGUAGCUGGUCUGAGAGGACGAUCAGCCACACUGGAACUGAGACACGGUCCAGACUCCUACGGGAGGCAGGAGUGGGGAAUUUUCCGCAAUGGGCGAAAGCCUGACGGAGCAAUACCGCGUGAGGGACGAAGGCUUUUGGGUCGUAAACCUCUUUUCUCAAGGAAGAUGAUGACGGUACUUGAGGAAUAAGCAUCGGCUAACUCUGUG
This 432-nucleotide ribosomal RNA is filed under the name uncultured bacterium. RNAcentral describes it as "partial 16S ribosomal RNA". It matches the Rfam family "Bacterial small subunit ribosomal RNA", at positions 28 to 507 of the family's 1533-position model. The record is from RNAcentral.